RNAcentral lists this unclassified non-coding RNA (610 nucleotides) under Homo sapiens (human). RNAcentral describes it as "novel transcript sense intronic to TRAPPC12 (ENSG00000280770.1)". The record is from RNAcentral. Lineage: Eukaryota; Metazoa; Chordata; Mammalia; Primates; Hominidae.
UCUUAAAUAGAAAACAGUCCUGGCAGGAUGUCUUGUGAGGGCAGUGUAAGCAGCUAUUGAAAGCCCACGCCCUGUUGUCAGGCAUCCCCAGUUACAUCCUGCUUCCCCCAUUGAAUCGCGUAGCCUUGGAGGAGUUAUCUGACAUCUCUGUGCCCCAGUGUCCUUAUUGGUAAAACAGAGAUGCCAAUCCUCCUUGCUGCCUGGGUUGUCCUAAAGAUCAAAUGAUGUCACGUGUAAGUUGCUUGGAAUAAUGGCUGCUAUCUAGUACCAACUGUAUUUGCUGGUUUUCUUACUCUCUUCCGAAUGUAUCAGUAACAUGGGAAAGUCUCGCACUGCCGCAUUUUGCAGGCUCGAUUGUCAGCAUUUGUUGGCUGCAGCAGUGGAGCUACAGAGAAUGGUCCUAGUUGUCAGGAAAUGCAGAGCCUGAUUGGAGGUAGAAAAUAUUUAAAACCAGUGGUACAAGAGAUGCAAAGGCCUGAUUAAUAAUAAAAUAAUAAUUCCUAUAGAAGUCUCAGAAAAUUUAAAUAAACAUUCUGUUGAACUUGGUUGAUACUAGUAGGUAAAUAGAUGAACUAAAAAGGCUAGAAGUAAAAACAAAUCUUUGAACUUC